ACGCUCGACACCUACGGGAGGCAUCAGUUGGGAAUAUUGGACAAUGGAGGAAACUCUGAUCCAGUGACGCCGCGUGAAGGAAGAAGGUCUUCGGAUUGUAAACUUAUUUUGUCAGGGAAGAAAAAUGACUGUACCUGAAGAAAAAGCACCGGCUAACUACGUGCCAGCACGCCGGUAGGUAAUCGUGACGGCGGGUCUGGACAGGC
RNAcentral lists this ribosomal RNA (206 nucleotides) under uncultured bacterium. RNAcentral's name for it is "partial 16S ribosomal RNA". It matches the Rfam family "Bacterial small subunit ribosomal RNA", at positions 328 to 538 of the family's 1533-position model. The record is from RNAcentral.